GACGAACGCUGGCGGCGUGCUUAACACAUGCAAGUCGAACGAAGAGCGAUGGAAGCUUGCUUCUAUCAAUCUUAGUGGCGAACGGGUGAGUAACGCGUAAUCAACCUGCCCUCCAGAGGGGGACAACAGUUGGAAACGACUGCUAAUGCCGCAUACGAUCUGACCUCGGCAUCGAGGAUAGAUGAAAGGUGGCCUCUAUUUAUAAGCUAUCACUGAAGGAGGGGAUUGCGUCUGAUUAGCUAGUUGGAGGGGUAACGGCCCACCAAGGCGAUGAUCAGUAGCCGGUCUGAGAGGAUGAACGGCCACAUUGGGACUGAGACACGGCCCAGACUCCUACGGGAGGCAGCAGUGGGGAAUCUUCCGCAAUGGACGAAAGUCUGACGGAGCAACGCCGCGUGAGUGAUGACGGCCUUCGGGUUGUAAAGCUCUGUUAAUCGGGACGAAAGGCCUUCUUGCGAAUAGUUAGAAGGAUUGACGGUACCGGAAUAGAAAGCCACGGCUAACUACGUG
Molecule: ribosomal RNA, 510 nt
Filed under: uncultured bacterium
Lineage: Bacteria
Description: partial 16S ribosomal RNA
Rfam family: Bacterial small subunit ribosomal RNA
Source: RNAcentral